Non-coding RNA from Stentor coeruleus, 73 nucleotides. Lineage: Eukaryota; Ciliophora; Heterotrichea; Heterotrichida; Stentoridae. The record is from Rfam.
GCCCGUCUAGCUCAGUCGGUAGAGCGCUAGGCUCUUAACCUAGUGGUCGUGGGUUCGAGCCCCACGGUGGGCG